AAGACUAUACUUUCAGGGAUCGGUUCUAUAGUUCAUAAAAGGGCUGACCUAGACAUUCCCUGACUCUGAAAGUCUCAGGAAGGCAU
This 86-nucleotide small nucleolar RNA is filed under the name Vicugna pacos (alpaca). Its description in RNAcentral is "Small nucleolar RNA U3 (ENSVPAG00000017957.1)". The record is from RNAcentral. Lineage: Eukaryota; Metazoa; Chordata; Mammalia; Artiodactyla; Camelidae.